Triticum urartu is the source of this 1936-nucleotide long non-coding RNA. RefSeq lists it as uncharacterized. The record is from RefSeq and is a predicted model, not a curated record. NCBI's taxonomy places the organism in Eukaryota, Viridiplantae, Streptophyta, Magnoliopsida, Poales, Poaceae.
CCACCGCGCGCCGCUCCCUAGUCUGGGCACCCCCCGGUGUGCCUCGCCUUCCUCCUUUCAUCCUCCUCGAGACGCCGGCCACUCAGCAGCCCCCUCAGCUGUCGGCUGGCGCGACCACGCCUCCCCACGCCGGGCUGCCUUCCCCGUCGAUGGAUACGAGCUCUACUGGCCCAGGCGACGCUACCAUCGCAGGAUUCGGCGAGAUUUGCCCAAGUAAACACCAUCUCCGUCGGUUAGGGCCCGCCGCGCCGGCUGGCGUCAGAUCCGCCCAUCCUUGCGCGAUGUUGGCCUUCCUUCUACCUCCAAUGUGCGGAUCCCCUCCCCUUCGUCUCCUCCUUCUAGCUCCAACCUCCCUCCGCUACCGGCCGGUGCGGCCUCGAGCCCUCGACUCCUGCGCCAACAACCGAACUCCCGCGCCACCAACCGCAGCAACGGCCUCAAGACGGUGUUUCCUCUCCUCAUCGCCGUGCCCUCUCUCCAUUCCCACGCAAUCCACUUCAGAGAGAAGGAGGAACUCCAUCACCGGCGCAUGUGCCACUCGCGAGGUGAAGCCGCCUCCCAGUUUGCGGGGUGUGCGUGUGGAGUACGGCGGGCGCGUCGGUGCAGUCUGGUGGGUGCGUCAGUGCAGUCCGUCCGGGUAGAGCGUGCAUUGCUCACGCGCCACAUCCCCCGCCGUACAGUCGGAUCCCUCAGGCAGUGCGCCACGCGCCCUCGUUCGGUACGCUAAUAUCCAGUUCAUCGUAGUCCGGCCUUGGGCAGCAAGUGAGCCCCUCCCGUCCACCCGGGCUAUGGAGGCGAGCUAGAUCCGGCGAGAUCCUUUCCUCUACGGUCCCCGGCCGUCCAACCUCACGCCCCGACGGCCUCCUGCAAGCACGGCUGGGUCGACGCCACCCCGUCCGCACUGCAUUUGUAAAAAAAUUCAGAAAAAAAAUUAAAGAAUGGUGAAGUUCAUUUGUAAGAAAAAAUGUGAUUUUCUACAGAACCCCAUAAAUUAGGAAAACCUCAUGAGGUACACUAACCUCCUCUGCCCGCUACUAGGGGGCAUCUCGGCCGCCGCCGUUGCGCCGUGCUACCCCGACACUACAGUCUACAGAGCAAUAGCGGCAACAUGGCUCCUCGUUCUGCCUUCUAGAGCAGCGGUGCAGUUGCUGCGGCCAUGCAGCUCGGCUUGCGGACAAAUGCAGUUGACUUGCACAGGCCGGUUGCUCUCUGCGAGGAACCAAUUUGAUACCAUUUUUAUUUGGGUGAUUCAGCGUCAGAAGCUAACUCUUGCUUUUGCAUCUUUUCUUCCACAGCGGUUGCAGAUGUGUUGGAGCAAGAGGGCUUCUAAAACAUAGCAUGCAUCACCUUAAGUCUUCAGACACUGAAACCAGGUAUCAACAUUAAGUACACUGAUCUCUGGAAUCCUCUCUAGAAUUUACUGAUGAAAUCUUGUGUUAGUGUACAGUGUUUUGCAAUUCUCCUGGUUUGUGUUGCAAUUCUACCUGUGCAGCUCAGUUGCCUCUCCCCGUGCAGCUCGCUUGCCGCCCCCGUGCAGCUCACCUCCGCCGAGCAAACUCUUUUCGGCGAGUCCACAUCGCGUCCGCACCACAUCGUGCAAUUUGAGUGCAGUUUUUGAUUAUUUUUGGAGCAGCACAUCCAUCCAACCCAACAAGUUCAGAGUUUGUGUGUUCAGUGCAGUACCGCAGUGCAAUGCAGUGCAGUUUCGGUUUCAGAGUCCCGUUGAAGGCCUCUUGGUGCUAUCCUCACUUAAGUUUUAUGUGAAAAUGUGUGUACAGCCUGUGUAACAGAAUUGCAAGGCCAAGUUUGUCAUAAAAAAUGAUGCUUAGAUGCGAUUCAGUGUAAAAUCCUAUGUGGUUCACUUGGUAAACAAAAAAGUGUCUGGUAUGUAAAUUUUUGAAGCUCACUUUGUAAUGUCAUGUGGCUAACCUCUCGA